UGGGGAAUAUUGGGCAAUGGAGGAAACUCUGACCCAGCGACGCCGCGUGCGGGAUGAAGGCCUUCGGGUUGUAAACCGCUUUCAGUAGGGAAGAAGCGAAAGUGACGGUACUUGAGGAAUAAGCAUCGGCUAACUCUGUGCCAGCAGCCGCGGUAAUACAGAGGAUGCAAGCGUUAUCCGGAAUCACUGGGCAUAAAGCGGCUGUAGGUGGUUUGGUAAGUCUGCUGUUAAAGACUGGGGCUCAACCCC
Molecule: ribosomal RNA, 249 nt
Filed under: uncultured Actinomycetales bacterium
Lineage: Bacteria; Bacillati; Actinomycetota; Actinomycetes; Actinomycetales
Description: partial 16S ribosomal RNA
Rfam family: Bacterial small subunit ribosomal RNA
Source: RNAcentral